RNAcentral lists this ribosomal RNA (449 nucleotides) under uncultured bacterium. RNAcentral's name for it is "partial 16S ribosomal RNA". It matches the Rfam family "Bacterial small subunit ribosomal RNA", at positions 29 to 523 of the family's 1533-position model. The record is from RNAcentral.
AGCGAACGCUGGCGGCAGGCUUAACACAUGCAAGUCGAGCGCCGUAGCAAUACGGAGCGGCAGACGGGUGAGUAACACGUGGGAACGUGCCUUUUGGUUCGGAAUAACUCAGGGAAACUUGAGCUAAUACCGAAUAAGCCCUUCGGGGGAAAGAUUUAUCGCCGAAAGAUCGGCCCGCGUAAGAUUAGCUUGUUGGUGAGGUAACGGCUCACCAAGGCUACGAUCUUUAGCUGGUCUGAGAGGAUGAUCAGCCACAUUGGGACUGAGACACGGCCCAAACUCCUACGGGAGGCAGCAGUGGGGAAUAUUGGACAAUGGGCGCAAGCCUGAUCCAGCCAUGCCGCGUGAGUGAUGAAGGCCUUAGGGUUGUAAAGCUCUUUUAGCGGAGACGAUAAUGACGGUAUCCGCAGAAAAAGCCCCGGCCAACUUCGUGCCAGCCGCCGCAGUAA